CCUACGGGGGGCAGCAGUGGGGAAUAUUGCACAAUGGGGGAAACCCUGAUGCAGCGACGCCGCGUGAGUGAAGAAGUAUUUCGGUACGUAAAGCUCUAUCAGCAGGGAAGAAAAUGCCGGUACCUGACUAAGAAGCCCCGGCUAACUACGUGCCAGCAGCCGCGGUAAUACGUAGGGUGCCAGCGUUAUCCGGAUUUACUGGGUGUAAAGGGAGCGUAGACGGCAGCGCAAGUCUGGAGUGAAAUCCCAUGGCUUAACCAUGGAACUGCUUUGGAAACUGUGCAGCUAGAGUGCAGGAGAGGUAAGCGGAAUUCCUAGUGUAGCGGUGAAAUGCGUAGAUAUUAGGAGGAACACCAGUGGCGAAGGCGGCUUACUGGACUGUAACUGACGUUGAGGCUCGAAAGCGUGGGGAGCAAACAGGAUUAGAUACCCUGGUAGUC
This 440-nucleotide ribosomal RNA is filed under the name uncultured bacterium. RNAcentral's name for it is "partial 16S ribosomal RNA". It matches the Rfam family "Bacterial small subunit ribosomal RNA", at positions 338 to 795 of the family's 1533-position model. The record is from RNAcentral.